This is a long non-coding RNA of Ictalurus punctatus (channel catfish), 1076 nucleotides long. RefSeq lists it as uncharacterized. The transcript has 2 exons. NCBI's taxonomy places the organism in Eukaryota, Metazoa, Chordata, Actinopteri, Siluriformes, Ictaluridae. The record is from RefSeq and is a predicted model, not a curated record.
UGUUGUCCAGUUCUACAAAGAGUAAACAAUUGUUUAAUAACAUCUUUUAUACCACUGCAUUGUUUAAUUCUUAAAUCAGACUGAUCAGAAGGUUGAUCAACUUUCUAUAACAGCAGGCUCUGACAAUAGUGCUGGUUGUAAUUCAAAUCACAGGUUUAUAUUAAUAUUCUCGUUUGAACACAUUAUGUUCUAUAGUAAGAGCUCAUUUACAGUGACUUGUAUAGUGAACACACCAUAUAAUCAAAACCGAAUAAUAAACAAAUUAAAAUACUUAUUUGAUAAAUGAAACAUCAUCGAUGUGCUGAUUUUUUAUGUAAGGAUGUGUUUAUUUAUCAUUUCUGGAAGGAGCCUAAAGCGUUAAGCUGUAAAUAAUAUUUCCACCACAGAAUUUUUAAAAAAAUUGUUUCCUAUAAUACCAUGCUCCCAAGUGUUUUAUUUCUUAUGUUGGUAUCUGGUUUUAGUUAUUAUAUAAAUUCCUCAGUCCAUUAGAUUACCUUGGUCAUUCAUACUGUCCAUUAUGGUCAUGAGUUUCUUUAACCUGGCCAUCGAUUCCUGUUCAUUGCCUUUACUCAUGAAGUCUGUUCCAAAGCCUGGGAUCAUGCCCUAAGUGUAACAAUAAACAGAUAUAUUCAACUUCAGAGAAGUUAAACUGAGGUAUUCAUUACGUGAACAUGAGCAUGUUGUAUUCACUGUACCAUGAUUUGCCCAAAAGGUCCCAUUUUCAUGAUGUUCUGGAACUGUUCAUACAUGUCCCGGAGUGUGAACUGACCUAUGAGAAGAGUGAACAGUAAUCACAGAUUAGCCCUGGAACAAGCAAACAGCAGCUGCUACAUGGCAUGUCUGAUUUAAUACAGAUUAAGUUUCCCCUUUGCUGUCAUAAUAACCUCCACUCAAGAGCAUUAGAGAGGUCAGGCACUGACUGAUGUUGGGUGAAGAGGCCUGGGGUGCAGUAAGUGUUCCAAGUCAUCUCAAAGAUGUUCAGUGUGGUUGAGAUCAGGGUUCUGUGCAGGCCACGUCAGUGCUUCCAGACCAGCCUUGGCAAAACAUGUCUUUAUAAACCUCACUUUGUGCACAGG